GGAUGUGACAGUAAUCUGGCUGCACCAUCUGUCACCCCAUGAUCGCCAGCAUUGAUUGGGCUGCCCUGGCUGGCUAUGCAGGGGUCCCCUUCCUCCCUCACCACUCCAUGUGCAUCCUACCCAAAGCUGCAUCCUAGGUCAAAGAGGACAACCUUCCCUGACAGAGGAAGACCGUUCUUGGGUCAAGGGUAUAGGAGUAGCUGUACUCCACUGCUAGAAUCUCCAAACAAGCUCUGAAGACCUAGCUACACCUUUUCUUGAUGCCAGCACUUCACAACAAAGACCACCUGUCAAACUAACAUGUCACUGUGUUUUAUAAAAAAAUGAUCACUUCUAU
Unclassified non-coding RNA from Marmota marmota marmota (Alpine marmot), 337 nucleotides. Its record names the gene 7SK. It matches the Rfam family "7SK RNA". Rfam says of the family: 7SK was discovered as an abundant small nuclear RNA in the mid-70s but a possible function has only recently been suggested. Two independent studies have found that 7SK RNA binds the CDK9/cyclin T complex (known as elongation factor P-TEFb). The record is from Ensembl. Lineage: Eukaryota; Metazoa; Chordata; Mammalia; Rodentia; Sciuridae.